Molecule: ribosomal RNA, 506 nt
Filed under: uncultured bacterium
Lineage: Bacteria
Description: partial 16S ribosomal RNA
Rfam family: Bacterial small subunit ribosomal RNA
Source: RNAcentral
AGUGAACGCUGGCGGUAGGCCUAACACAUGCAAGUCGAACGGCAGCACAGGAGAGCUUGCUCUCUGGGUGGCGAGUGGCGGACGGGUGAGGAAUACAUCGGAAUCUACUCUGUCGUGGGGGAUAACGUAGGGAAACUUACGCUAAUACCGCAUACGACCUACGGGUGAAAGCAGGGGAUCUUCGGACCUUGCGCGAUUGAAUGAGCCGAUGUCGGAUUAGCUAGUUGGCGGGGUAAAGGCCCACCAAGGCGACGAUCCGUAGCUGGUCUGAGAGGACGAUCAGCCACACUGGAACUGCGACACGGUCCAGACUCCUACGGGAGUCAGCAGUGGGGAAUAUUGGACAAUGGGCGCAAGCCUGAUCCAGCCAUACCGCGUGGGUGAAGAAGGCCUUCGGGUUGUAAAGCCCUUUUGUUGGGAAAGAAAUCCAGCUGGUUAAUACCCGGUUGGGAUGACGGUACCCAAAGAAUAAGCACCGGCUAACUUCGUGCCAGCCGCCGCCGUAA